This 868-nucleotide ribosomal RNA is filed under the name Hypocreales sp. FY-2022b. Its description in RNAcentral is "partial large subunit ribosomal RNA". It matches the Rfam family "Eukaryotic large subunit ribosomal RNA", at positions 40 to 939 of the family's 3401-position model. The record is from RNAcentral. Lineage: Eukaryota; Fungi; Ascomycota; Sordariomycetes; Hypocreales.
AUAUCAAUAAGCGGAGGAAAAGAAACCAACAGGGAUUGCCUCAGUAACGGCGAGUGAAGCGGCAACAGCUCAAAUUUGAAAUCUGGCCCCCAGGGUCCGAGUUGUAAUUUGUAGAGGAUGCUUUUGGUGAGGUGCCUUCCGAGUUCCCUGGAACGGGACGCCAUAGAGGGUGAGAGCCCCGUCUGGUUGGACACCGAGCCUCUGUAAAGCUCCUUCGACGAGUCGAGUAGUUUGGGAAUGCUGCUCUAAAUGGGAGGUAUAUGUCUUCUAAAGCUAAAUAUUGGCCAGAGACCGAUAGCGCACAAGUAGAGUGAUCGAAAGAUGAAAAGCACUUUGAAAAGAGGGUUAAAAAGUACGUGAAAUUGUUGAAAGGGAAGCGCUCAUGACCAGACUUGGGCUUGGCGAAUCAUCCAGCGUUCUCGCUGGUGCACUUCGCCUCGUUCAGGCCAGCAUCAGUUUGUCCCGGGGGAUAAAAGCUUCGGGAACGUGGCUGCUUCGGCAGUGUUAUAGCCCGCUGCAUAAUACCCUGGGGUGGACUGAGGUUCGCGCUCCGCAAGGAUGCUGGCGUAAUGGUCAUCAGCGACCCGUCUUGAAACACGGACCAAGGAGUCGUCUUCGUAUGCGAGUGUUCGGGUGUCAAACCCCUACGCGUAAUGAAAGUGAACGCAGGUGAGAGCUUCGGCGCAUCAUCGACCGAUCCUGAUGUUCUCGGAUGGAUUUGAGUAAGAGCAUACGGGGCCGGACCCGAAAGAAGGUGAACUAUGCCUGUAUAGGGUGAAGCCAGAGGAAACUCUGGUGGAGGCUCGCAGCGGUUCUGACGUGCAAAUCGAUCGUCAAAUAUGGGCAUGGGGGCGAAAGACUAAUCGAA